UACGGAGGGGGCUAGCGUUGUUCGGAAUCACUGGGCGUAAAGGGCGCGUAGGCGGCUUGGCAAGUCAGGUGUGAAAGGCCUGGGCUCAACCCAGGAACUGCACUUGAGACUGCCUCGCUUGAGUCCGGGAGAGGAUGGCGGAAUUCCCAGUGUAGAGGUGAAAUUCGUAGAUAUUGGGAAGAACACCGGUGGCGAAGGCGGCCAUCUGGACCGGUACUGACGCUGAGGCGCGAAAGCGUGGGGAGCAAACAGG
Molecule: ribosomal RNA, 253 nt
Filed under: uncultured bacterium
Lineage: Bacteria
Description: partial 16S ribosomal RNA
Rfam family: Bacterial small subunit ribosomal RNA
Source: RNAcentral